RNAcentral lists this long non-coding RNA (432 nucleotides) under Felis catus (domestic cat). RNAcentral's name for it is "lncRNA (ENSFCAG00000040291.1)". The record is from RNAcentral. Lineage: Eukaryota; Metazoa; Chordata; Mammalia; Carnivora; Felidae.
UCUAGGGGGCGGCUUACGUAGGGCAGGUGGAGGGGGGCGAGCUAGAUUUCUGGGCUCCCUUGUGGAUUGGCUGAUGCCUUCGCUGGGCUCUGGGAGGUAGGGGCAACCCCCAGCUGUCUGGUGCCUGGCCCCAGGGCAGUCAGGACGGGGGUCUAGUGUGACCAUCUUUAUCAGGGAAGUGCUAAAGUGUGAACUUCAUUAGCUAUUUGAGAAGGGAAAAUGGCUGGGUUCUAGGCAGGGGCCAACAUGGGGUGGAGAGAGCGCAGUCAAAAGUAUUGCAGGUGUAAGGAGGAAACGAAUUCAUGUCAUAAGGUGCUCAGAAGAGUCCCCAGAAGAAGGCAAAGGUUCGGAAGAAAAGGUGGUGGCACAUUGUGUGUCCUGAUUCAUCAGCCAACAGCAUCUUCUUGGGCCGCUACAAAGAAUACUAUAACC